GAUGAAGAACGCAGUGAAAUGCGAUAAGUAAUGUGAAUUGCAGAAUUCCGUGAAUCAUCGAAUCUUUGAACGCACAUUGCGCCCCCUGGAAUUCCGGGGGGCAUGCCUGUUCGAGCGUCUCAGGGACGAACCCUCGCGCGGGUGUACGCGCGGUCGUGGCUGCGGUGGCGUGCCCGAGGCGGCGGCCACCGCGCUGGAAUCCAUGGGCGGACGCCUGCCGCGUGGCCGAGCGUGAUAUGACGCAUUGGCGCUCGCACGCGGCGAGGCUGCCAGCCCUGGCCCGUCUGUCGGGCGGGGGAGAGCAAGACACGUGAACUCCUCGAAUCAGGUAGGGAUACCCGCUGAACUUAAGCAUAUCAAUAAGCGGAGGA
Molecule: unclassified non-coding RNA, 371 nt
Filed under: soil metagenome
Description: partial contains 5.8S ribosomal RNA, internal transcribed spacer 2, and large subunit ribosomal RNA
Rfam family: 5.8S ribosomal RNA (bases 1-120)
Source: RNAcentral